UACAGCUUCUCUCAAAGGCAAAGAGGCGACUUAAAGUUAAUGGAGUAUAUCAACUUUUCAGAUUUAGAAAUCGGAAUGAGGACGUUCUAGAAAUUAAUGGACCUACUUCUCGGAAAUACUGAAUUGCAGUGUACUGGUUACUUCAUCUACAUUUAAUAGGUUAGGUUUGCGCGGGUUGAAUACUUGAAUGUGGACACUGAUAUACACAGGAUCAAAUACUUGGCAUUCAACCUACAGCGAGACCUCUUCCUGGUGGAAUACUACAGUGAAUGGU
Anneissia japonica is the source of this 274-nucleotide long non-coding RNA. RefSeq lists it as uncharacterized. Lineage: Eukaryota; Metazoa; Echinodermata; Crinoidea; Comatulida; Comatulidae. The transcript has 3 exons. The record is from RefSeq and is a predicted model, not a curated record.